This 468-nucleotide ribosomal RNA is filed under the name uncultured bacterium. RNAcentral describes it as "partial 16S ribosomal RNA". It matches the Rfam family "Bacterial small subunit ribosomal RNA", at positions 28 to 507 of the family's 1533-position model. The record is from RNAcentral.
GACGAACGCUGGCGGCGUGCUUAACACAUGCAAGUCGAACGGAAAGGCCCUGCUUUUGUGGGGUGCUCGAGUGGCGAACGGGUGAGUAACACGUGAGUAACCUGCCCUUGACUUUGGGAUAACUUCAGGAAACUGGGGCUAAUACCGGAUAGGAGCUCCUGCUGCAUGGUGGGGGUUGGAAAGUUUCGGCGGUUGGGGAUGGACUCGCGGCUUAUCAGCUUGUUGGUGGGGUAGUGGCUUACCAAGGCUUUGACGGGUAGCCGGCCUGAGAGGGUGACCGGCCACAUGGGGACUGAGAUACGGCCCAGACUCCUACGGGAGGCAGCAGUGGGGAAUAUUGCACAAUGGGCGGAAGCCUGAUGCAGCAACGCCGCGUGCGGGAUGACGGCCUUCGGGUGGUAAACCGCUGUCGCCUGUGACGAAGCGUGAGUGACGGUAAUGGGUAAAGAAGCACCGGCUAACUACGUG